This is a long non-coding RNA of Bos taurus (domestic cattle), 2437 nucleotides long. NCBI's taxonomy places the organism in Eukaryota, Metazoa, Chordata, Mammalia, Artiodactyla, Bovidae. The record is from Ensembl.
GGGAGGGGCGGCCCCGCCUCCGCCGCCCGCCCCCUGGUUCUCGGCGUUGACUGCUUACUAAGCCUUGCAACACCGGGUUCCGGGAAGACCGCGCCUCACUGGAGGCCUUGACCCCGGGCGGGAACGCGGAGGUCGCCAGGGCGCCUGCGCAAACCUCGAGGCCCGCUGUCCGCCCUUCCUCUUAGCGGCAGUGGGAGGGCACUCUGGGCGCUCUUGGCCCUGGGGGCGGGCUGGGGGGCUGGAGGCCACGUCACGGACUGGGGAGCCUGGGGGAACGGUGUCGGGGAGGCUAAGUGGGGAAGGAAUGAACACUCUCCGAGCGGGUCAAGCCAUUUCCUUUGUGCAGAGCUUGCCUGGUGGCGCAGACGUGAAAGCGUCUGCCUCCAAUGCGGGAGACCGGGGUUCGAUCUCCAGGUCGGGAAGAUCCUCUGGAAAAGGGAACGGCUUCUUCCUAUGUCCAUGGGAUUUCCCAAGCAAGAAUUACUGGAGUCGUUUGCCAUCUGGGUAGGUGUGUCCAGAAUUAAGACUAGGCACGUAGAGAGCUGACUCAUUUGCAAAGACCCUGAUGCUGGGAAAGAUUGAAGGCGGGAGGAGAAGGGGAUGACAGAGGAUGAGAUGGUUGGAUGGCAUCACCGACUGGAUGGACAUGAGUUUGAGUAAACUCUGGGAUUUGGUGAUGGACAGGGAGGCCUGGCGUGCUGCAGUCCAUGGGGUCACAGAGUCGGACACGACUGAGCGACUGAACUGAUGUAAAGAGCUCGUUUUUGGGGGGACGACCUGGGUGCGAACGUGGUUACCUACUGGCGAGGAUCCAGAGGAUGGCCUUGGGAUGCUGUCUGGAACAGAGGUCUGUAAGCUCUUUUGGUCGUCUGCCCUCGUAGUUCAGUCCAUAAGUCGUGUCCCGCUUGUUGCGAUCCCAUGGACUGCAGCACCAAACUUUUAAUCCAAGAUUAAGUACCUUAAUAAUAGAUUAUGCACAUUAUAAAAAUAAAAGGGAAAAUAUAAAGGAUGAGUGAUGAAAUAAGCAGUCAAAGAUGUAGCUGUUAAUUCUAACAAUCAAUUUAAUUGUAAGGUAAAAUGAGUUUUUGUAAAGAACUUUGCUCUUGAGUGUGGCCUUGUAAACAACAGGUAUAAUUUAGAGGGGCUUCCCUAGUGACUCAGAGUUAGGAGACCACCAGCAAUGCAGGAGACCUGGGUUCAAGCCGUGGGGGCUGCCACUCCAGUGUGCUUGCCUGCGAAGUCCUAACACAUAAUUUAAAUACCAUGAAAUUCACUCAUUCCAAGUGCACAGUGAUUUUUAGUGAAUCUGUCUAGUUGUUAGGCCUAUUUUUUAAAAACUUCGUAUUAGUACUCUGUGAUUCAUAAAUUUUUAGGUUUGAUUCCAAGUAUGUCAGUGUUUGCUUCAGUGAGGUUGUAGAUGGAAAAAUACCCGGUGAGAACAUGUGGAUCUAAAAGGAAGAAGGAAGUUCUUGGUUGCAUUUAUUAAUCAUACUCUCAUUGAAAUCUAUGACAAUGACUCUUUGACUUACAGUUUACAUUAAAAGUUUUAUUUCCUGCUGUUCAAAAGUUGUUUUUACAAACUAGUUGGAAUAGAACAGUGGGCCCAAAACAUCUCAUGAACGGAAAUAUUUCAUUUGAAGUCUUUUAAAAUAUGUUGAAAAACUUCCCUCCACUUUUGUGGGCAGCUAGAGGUUUUUAUAAAGCUAUAAAGAAAGCUAAGCACUGAAGAAUUGAUGCUUUUGAACUGUGAUAUUGGGGAAGACUCUUGAGAGUCCCUUGGACUGCAAGGAGAUCAGUCCUGAAUAUUCAUUGGAAGGACUGAUGCUGAAGCUGAAACUCCAAUACUUUGGCCACCUGAUGUGAAGAACUGACUCCUUGGAAGAGAGCCUGUUGCUGGGAAAGACUGAAGGUGGGAGGAGAAGGGGACCACAGAGGAUGAGAUGGUUGGAUGGCAUCACCGACUCUAUGGACAUGAGUUUGAGCGAGCUUAGGGAGUUGCUGAUGGACAGGGAAGGUUGGUGUGCUGCAGUCCAUGGGGUCGCAAAGUUGGACAAAACUGAGUGACUGAACUGAUAGAGGUUUUUUAGAUGCACAUAACAUUUGGCAAUGAGAAUCACAUUCAAAUGGAAAUAUUUUCAAAUACAUUUUUAAAUGCAAGAAUUAUAUUUAGUGAAUACCUAUAGAGUUUCUUUUGAUUUUCAUUUUUAUACAAUAAAAACAAUUUUAGGGGAUUUAAUGCUUUGUUUUUCAGUAUUGCCACAUGACAUGCUAAUGUUUUCCACUUGUUAAAGAAAGGUCAAUCAUAUUUUAUAAAACUACAAUUCACCUUUAAGUUGACAGUACUUGCAUGGCACAGAAGACUUUCAUGGUCUUUCCCAUCUUAAUACAAUAACUGUAAAGUUUGAAUUGUAUUUUAAUAAAAUUGAAUUAAAAAACA